This 254-nucleotide ribosomal RNA is filed under the name uncultured bacterium. Its description in RNAcentral is "partial 16S ribosomal RNA". It matches the Rfam family "Bacterial small subunit ribosomal RNA", at positions 524 to 776 of the family's 1533-position model. The record is from RNAcentral.
UACGUAGGGUGCAAGCGUUGUCCGGAAUUAUUGGGCGUAAAGAGCUCGUAGGCGGUGUGUCACGUCGGCCGUGAAAACCUGCAGCUUAACUGUGGGCGUGCGGUCGAUACGGGCAUCACUGGAGUUCGGCAGGGGAGACUGGAAUUCCUGGUGUAGCGGUGAAAUGCGCAGAUAUCAGGAGGAACGCCGGUGGCGAAGGCGGGUCUCUGGGCCGAUACUGACGCUGAGGAGCGAAAGCUAGGGGAGCAAACGGG